AAUGAACGUUGGCGGCAUGGAUUAGGCAUGCAAGUCGAGCGAGAAGUCUUAGUUUGACGCUUCGGUUGAUUUCUAAGAUGGACAGCGGCGAAAGGGUGAGUAACGCGUAGUUACCUGCCUCAGGGUCUGGAAUAGCCUCGGGAAACUGAGGGUAAUGCCAGAUAAUAUCUCCGGAUCAAAGGUGAGAUUCCGCCCUGAGAGGGGACUGCGUCCUACUAGCUUGUUGGUGGGGUAAAGGCCUACCAAGGCUCAGAUGGGUAGCGGGCGUGAGAGCGUGGCCCGUCACACUGGGACUGAGACACUGCCCAGACACCUACGGGUGGCUGCAGUCGAGAAUCUUCGGCAAUGCGCGAAAGCGUGACCGAGCAAUGCCGCGUGCGGGAUGAAGGCCCUCGGGUUGUAAACCGCGAAAGUUUGGGGGAAGGACUUGUGAAGAGCAAGUUUUGACCGAUCUUCAGUAAGACGGGCUAAGUUCGUGCCAGCAGCCGC
RNAcentral lists this ribosomal RNA (489 nucleotides) under uncultured bacterium. RNAcentral's name for it is "bacterial SSU rRNA". It matches the Rfam family "Bacterial small subunit ribosomal RNA", at positions 29 to 518 of the family's 1533-position model. The record is from RNAcentral.